CCUGGUCCAUGGACUUGAAGAAGAACUUGUAGCUGUGCACGGGCCGGUUGCUGAGGACAUUUUUGAAAUCGGCCAGCGUGACUUUCUCCGGCGGCACGGGCAGCUUCACCAGGGACUUCAGAGUUUUUACUGGAGAAUCGCUAAAACAAUUCUUGAACAUCAGGUAGAACAUGUGACCUUAAUCCUCCAUGGGAAAACAACUGAACCCUCCGUUCCUGGGCAAAAGUUUUGCAGCAAUACUUCACACAAUGUUUGUGUGAAGAGAUGGGACAAAAGGGAAACCAAGCUCUGAACAGCCACCCAGAGGUUUCCUAGGUGGUUUUUACCCACCUGCAAGGAUUUAUCUGUAAAAGAACAAAAUUUCACUUCGAGGAUUGUUGGCAAGAUUGGCAUGGAUGCAGAAGAUGAACUAAACAUGGAAAUGAUCCCAGAACAGAAAGAGAAGCAGAGAAAUGUCACUGCAACCACACAGAGCUCAAAAUGGAGAGGCUGUGGGCUGGCUCCCAGCUGGGAAAUGUGAGCAGGAUCCAAUCCAAGACAGUUUAAACUUCUCCUGGAUCUGGUCUGGAAGAUCUGCAAGGGUUUUUUUUCCCGUUUAUUCUCCCUCUGUGUGCAGUGGACCUUGGGCAGUCACUGACAAGGAAAUGGAGACAUUAAACACUAGAGGGAAGCAAAAGACUUUGCAGUAACCUCUGCAAAGCUCCCUGGGGCUGUCCCUGGACCUAAACACAAAUCUGAGGAAAAUGAGAAAUAACAGGAGGUAUUUGCAUCCUCCAAGCCCCACUUAAGUUAGAAAUACACGUUAAGGAGAAAUACUGCCCCACAGGGAGGGGAAAAGAGGACAGAGGACAACACUCGUGUGGGUUUUCAAACACUUCCAUGGAAUGCAGACCCUAUAAAUGAUAAAUUCUUUGGAUUGAUCCCAGCUCCUCCUCAUCCUGACUCAAUCUCUUUUCUUUCCUCUGCUUUUCCUACCUCUCCUUAGCAGCUGCAGCCCCUUUUUUUUAAAAAGGGGAAAGUCACACUUGAACAAAUUCCCUACAGGAACUGUCUGCAGAGCAGCUGAUCUCCUGAGGCCACAUACAGACCUCUAGGAAAUUGGAGUUUUUUGCUUAGAAAUGUUUACUUGGGUCUUUAUCCUCCUUGUCUCUCGCUGGUGCUUCUUCCCCUCAGGAAUUUGUUCUGUUGAUGACUUACAAGUUCCUCUCCCCUGGUAAAACUCUCCCCAGACUGGGAGGCAGAAAGGAGACUGGGACAAACUGGACUUCACUUCAGCCAAGUGGAAGACAAUAAAAAUAUUUGUUUCAGUGGUC
Molecule: long non-coding RNA, 1313 nt
Organism: Poecile atricapillus (Black-capped chickadee)
Lineage: Eukaryota; Metazoa; Chordata; Aves; Passeriformes; Paridae
Exons: 2
Source: RefSeq, a predicted model, not a curated record